Molecule: ribosomal RNA, 492 nt
Filed under: uncultured bacterium
Lineage: Bacteria
Description: partial 16S ribosomal RNA
Rfam family: Bacterial small subunit ribosomal RNA
Source: RNAcentral
AGUGAACGCUGGCGGUAGGCCUAACACAUGCAAGUCGAACGGCAGCACAGUAAGAGCUUGCUCUUACGGGUGGCGAGUGGCGGACGAGUGAGGAAUACAUCGGAAUCUACUUUUUCGUGGGGGAUAACGUAGGGAAACUUACGCUAAUACCGCAUACGACCUACGGGUGAAAGCAGGGGAUCUUCGGACCUUGCGCGAUUGAAUGAGCCGAUGUCGGAUUAGCUAGUUGGCGGGGUAAAGGCCCACCAAGGCGACGAUCCGUAGCUGGUCUGAGAGGAUGAGCAGCCACACGGGAACUGAGACACGGUCCAGACUCCUACGGGGGGCAGGAGUGGGGAAUAUUGGACAAUGGGCGCAAGCCUGAUCCAGCCAUACCGCGUGGGUGAAGAAGGCCUUCGGGUUGUAAAACCCUUUUGUUGGGAAAGAAAAGCAGCAGGUUAAUACCCCGCUGUUCUGACGGUACCCAAAGAAUAAGCACCGGCUAACUUCGUG